RNAcentral lists this long non-coding RNA (2595 nucleotides) under Pan troglodytes (chimpanzee). RNAcentral's name for it is "long non-coding RNA NONPTRT015943". The record is from RNAcentral. Lineage: Eukaryota; Metazoa; Chordata; Mammalia; Primates; Hominidae.
UAACCAAAGUGUGUAUGUCUUACCUAACAGGCACACCAUAUAUAAAUAUGAUGGAUAAGCAGUGAGUGUGUAAAGACCUUGUGACUAUUGAAUGUUUUGUAAAAGGUACGUAUCCAAAAUAAUUAAAAUCAGGACCUCAAAGAACUAUCUGCACUUCCAUGUUCAUUGCAGCAUUAUUCAUAAUAGCCCAAAUGUGGAAACCAUCUAAAUGCUCAUUGACAGAUGAAUGGAUAAAGAAAAUGUGGCACAUAUAUACCAUCAAAUAUUAUUUAGCCUUAACACAGCAGAAAAUCCUGCCAUAUGCAAAAACAUGACUGAACCUACAGGAUGUUAUGGUAAGUGAAAUGAACCAAUCACAGAAGGAUAAACCCUACAUGGUUCCACUUCCUAAAGCAGGCAGACUUGUACAGAGAGUAGAGAGAGGUGCUUGCCAGGGGCUUGGGAGAAGGGGAAAUGGAAGGCGUUCCAUGGGUACAAAGUUUCAGUUGUGCAAAAUGAAAUAAGUUCUAGAUAUUUGCUGUAUCCUACUGUGCUUUCAGUUAACAAGACUUAAACAUUUAUGGAGAGGGUAGAUCUCAUGUUAAGUGUUCUUAUCACAAAAAAAAGAAAGAAAGAAAAGAAAGUUCGUAGUUAUGUUUAGUUAUGUUUUUUUCCCUGUUUUAUUUAGUACCUACUGAGGGAUUCCUUUUUUUUUUUCUUUUUUUAAGAUGGAGUUUCACUCUGUUGCCCAGGCAGGAGUGCAGCAGCAUAAUCUCAGCUCACUGCAACCUCUGCCUCCUGGAUUCAAGCAAGUCUCCUGCCUCAGCCUCCUAAGGAGCUGGGGUUACAGGCAUGCGCCACCACACCUGGCUAAUAUUUGUAUUUUUAGUAGAGACGGGGUUUCACCAUGUUGGCCAGGCUGGUCUCGAACUUCUGGCCUCAAAUGAUCCACCCGCCUCAGCCUCCCAAAAUACUGGGAUUAAAGGUGUGAGCCACCAUGCCUGGCCACCUUUUAUCUAUUGUUGAUGCAUUCCUUGCUACUAAACAGCAUCCUAGAUUUCCUUAUUCCUCCACUGUUGAUAAUGUAAUAGUUGAUCUAAAUACAGUAGAUAUCUGAUCUCUCUUUCACAGAAAGUCACUGGGGUGUGUGAUGGGAAGUGUAAAGUAAGUAUCGGUGAUGGUUUCACCAUAACAGGUGAUAUGAUAUCCACUGUCCACGUCAUCCAAAACCUAAGUUUGUUUGGCUUCAGAGUUGCAGGACAUUCCAAUUAUUCCACCUUUCUCAGCUUCCUACCCUUCGUGAUCCACUCCAGCCAACAUGCAAGGAGAAUCUGGGGGAGUAAAGGAGGGCAAAUUGGAAAAUGUCGCUUCUGUUACCCAGUCUCUUGCAUUUUGUUGCCCAUUUUGGCCUUAAUAAAAUUUUGAUCAAAAUUUAAAAAUUAGGAAUAUGUGUGUUUCACCAUUUAUCUGUGAAGGAAAGAAUCCUGCCUUAUGCCUAAAAAUAUUUUAAUAAUGUGGUAACAUUACCCCUAAUAAUAGAACCUGCCUACGCACCAACACAAUUCCAAUCUAAGAGUUAGUCAUAUCCUCCCAUCAAGACACUGUGUGCAGAUUUUCUUCAGCCAUAUUCAGAUGGGAUUUCAGGUUCCAGUCUGAAGACAAAGAGAUUAUAGAUCAGAAGAGACAUCUAAUUUCAACUAAAUCAUGCUUGCAAACAAAGCCACACACACACACACACACACACACACACACACACACACGAAACCCUGCCUGUUUUCAUUUUUAUUAUCCCAUGUGGCACUACCCAGAUAAGAAAAUAACUAAAAUAAAUAUUUUCCAUUAACCAUUGGCAUAAAUCAUGAUUUACUCUCACAGGUAUCUCAACAGUACCCACACCGGUGAUAGGACUGAUAAUGUUGAUUGACUGUUUACUAUCUGCCAUGCACUUCUAGAAGAGCUUGACUUGGGUUUUCUCAUUUGUUUCUCAAAACAUUCUUAUGAGACAGACACUAUUAUUAUCCCCACAUUACAGAUGAGGAUACCAAGGCACCACAGAGCUAAGUGGUCGAGCCGGGAGUGGGCACCACCCAAUCCAGCUUGUGCUACUGAACACCUGCUCUCUGAUCACUGGAAUCCUGGCAGUUUGAUGGGAGAGACCUACUUCAAAAAAUGCACAGUGCCAUCAAUGAUGGAGCUGACAAUAAUCACAAAUAACAACAACUGAAUGUGUCUGUCCUUUCAAUCAAGCACAGCCCAUGACACUGAUCCCCAGACCCUGGAAGGUUUUCUGACUUUGAAUAAAAUAACAACUUCUAGAUCUUGUCCUGGGCCAUGGUCUGUCUGCUCUGUGACCUCCAGAUGAUGGAGAACUCCCGACCCAUUUCCUCUUGGUGGGAUGAGGUACCAAAACAUCAUGCCUCGAAAUCAUUCAGGAUGCAUCUUUUUAAAAAAUCUCAGUGAGCAACGCUAAAGAAGAGAGACCACAAGCUCUAGACGUUUUCCUGUAUAAUUAAGAAGAAUCUGUUCAACAAACCCCCAUGACAUAAGCUUAUCUAUAUAACAAACCUGCACAUGUGCCCCUGAACCUAAAAUAAAAGCUUUUUUAAAAAAGAAAAA